CUGCUCCCUUUCUAAGACCAUGCAAAUGCUUGAGUUAGUAGAUGUCAAAGCGGCACUUCAGGGAGAAGAAAUGAGAAGUUCAGACGUCUUGAUGACCUAAAAGCCAUGGAUCAGGCCGGCUAUUAAAGGUUCACCUUAAGGUAGCAGAAAUAAUAGCUUCCAAAUCCAUUAGAGUCCAGUCCCUAAAGAAAACAACUACUCCAUAAAUAGUUACAACAAAAUUUCCCAAUAGGGAGAUACUAAGUACUAACCAAAGUAAACUAAAAAUGGUUGAGACACCAGUAAUGCUAUAUGAGUUAUGAGAGUUAGUAUUGCUGGGCCUCUAACACCCAACUUGUCCUCAACAUGAUCACUAGUAGAAAUACAGAUGUUAAGUAGAUGGCAUCAUAUAAGAUUAGACAAGAUUAGAAUUAAACGAUUGAAAGGGUACAAACAGCACUCUACAUCCUUAAAGGAUAAAUCGAAGAAGGUUACAUGACGUGGUUUGGUCAAGUCUCACAAUCA
RNAcentral lists this unclassified non-coding RNA (504 nucleotides) under Hevea brasiliensis (rubber tree). The record is from RNAcentral. Lineage: Eukaryota; Viridiplantae; Streptophyta; Magnoliopsida; Malpighiales; Euphorbiaceae.